This 1390-nucleotide small RNA is filed under the name Pan troglodytes (chimpanzee). RNAcentral describes it as "processed transcript". The record is from RNAcentral. Lineage: Eukaryota; Metazoa; Chordata; Mammalia; Primates; Hominidae.
GAGGCGCGGGCGGCGGCGACCGCGGCGCCAGUGAGGGGGCCCUGGGGCCCGGGCGGCUCCGGGCCGGGGCCCCGCCGCGGGACGGACCAUGCUACGCUCCACUGGCUUCUUCCGGGCCAUUGACUGCCCCUAUUGGUCUGGGGCGCCCGGGGGGCCCUGCCGGCGGCCCUACUGCCACUUCCGGCACCGCGGGGCCCGGGGCCCCGGCGCGCCCGGUGACGGCGGAGAGGCGCCCCCCGCAGCAGUGAAGGCUGCACCAGACGCAUCUGUACCUGCCCUGUGCGGUCUGUCUGUGGCACGGGUUCUGAGGAUUCUGAGUCUGAAGGUGGUGGUGUUGAAGCUGCAUGGGAUGGUUGCGAAACUGCUCUGCAAGAUCUCGGCCUGUCCAUGGCCCCCUCAGUGACGGGGCUGGGUUAUGACCCCUACAACCCUGAGCUGCCCAAGCCCCCCGCGCAGAGGGAGAAUGGCACCCUGGGCCUGGGGGAGGAGCCGCGCCCGGAUGUGCUGGAGUUGGAGCUGGUCAACCAGGCCAUCGAGGCCGUGCGCAGUGAGGUGGAGCUGGAGCAGCGGCGCUACCGGGAGCUGCUGGAGACGGCCCGUGAGCACCGCUCCGCCGAGGCCCCCGCCCUGGCGCCCCGCGGCCCCAACGCCAGCCCCACUGUGGGCCUGGACGAGGAUGCCUUCCCGCUGGCCUUCGACUACAGCCCCGGCAGCCACGGCCUGUCAAGCCCUGAUGCCGGCUACCAGCCCACCCCACUGGCCGCCCCUGCCGAGCCGGGCAGCAAGUACUCGCUGGCGUCCCUGGACAGGGGUCAGGGCAGAGGUGGAGGGGGUGGCGGUGCCCUGGAAUACGUCCCCAAGGCUGUGAGCCAGCCCCGGCGGCACAGCCGCCCGGUUCCCAGUGGCAAGUACGUGGUGGACAACUCCAGGCCACCCACAGACCUGGAGUAUGACCCUCUCUCCAACUACUCGGCCCGGCACCUCAGCAGGGCCAGCUCCCGGGAUGAGCGGGCCGCCAAGCGGCCCCGGGGCUCCCGCGGCAGUGAGCCCUACACACCUGCUCCCAAGAAGCCCUGUGACCCCUUUGGCAGUUGCGAUGCAAGGUUCUCAGACUCAGAAGAUGAGGCCGCCACGGUCCCAGGUAACGAGCCCACCGCGGCCAGCACCCCCAAAGCCAGGGCCGACCCUGAGAUGAAGGCCACCGGGCAGCCACCCUCCAAAGAGGGCCUGGAGGCCGAGGGGGGCGGCCUGCGGGAGACCAAGGAGACGGCCGUGCAGUGCGACGUGGGGGACCUCCAGCCGCCCCCAGCCAAGCCCGCCUCCCCAGCCCAGGUCCAGUCCUCACAGGAUGGGGGUUGCCCCAAGGAGGGAAAACCCAAGAAGAAAAAAA